This 24-nucleotide non-coding RNA is filed under the name Cricetulus griseus (Chinese hamster). The record is from RNAcentral. Lineage: Eukaryota; Metazoa; Chordata; Mammalia; Rodentia; Cricetidae.
CAAAAAGACAGGCAAAACUCUGCU